UACGUAGGGUGCAAGCGUUAAUCGGAACUACUGGGCGUAAAGCGUGCGCAGGCGGUUUUGUAAGUCUGUCGUGAAAGCCCCGGGCUCAACCUGGGAAUUGCGAUGGAGACUGCAAGGCUUGAAUCUGGCAGAGGGGGGUAGAAUUCCACGUGUAGCAGUGAAAUGCGUAGAGAUGUGGAGGAACACCGAUGGCGAAGGCAGCCCCCUGGGUCAAGAUUGACGCUCAUGCACGAAAGCGUGGGGAGCAAACAGG
RNAcentral lists this ribosomal RNA (253 nucleotides) under uncultured bacterium. RNAcentral's name for it is "partial 16S ribosomal RNA". It matches the Rfam family "Bacterial small subunit ribosomal RNA", at positions 524 to 776 of the family's 1533-position model. The record is from RNAcentral.